RNAcentral lists this ribosomal RNA (309 nucleotides) under Macronema sp. YNP_3232. RNAcentral describes it as "eukaryotic LSU rRNA". It matches the Rfam family "Eukaryotic large subunit ribosomal RNA", at positions 72 to 346 of the family's 3401-position model. Lineage: Eukaryota; Metazoa; Arthropoda; Insecta; Trichoptera; Hydropsychidae. The record is from RNAcentral.
GGAUUCCCAGAGUAGCGGCGAGCGAAACGGGAACAGCCCAGCGCUGAAUCCCGCCGUUCCGUCGGACGGCCGGGAAAUGUAGCGUUCGGGAGGAGAUCUUAACACAUUCGCGCGGUCAACGUAACGGCGGCCAGUCCAAGUCCAUCUUGAAGGGGGCUCCGCUUAUCCGUAGAGGGUGCCAGGCCCGUAGCGACGGUCGCCGGCCGCGACGGUCUCUCUCCUAAGAGUCGGGUUGCUUGAGAGUGCAGCCCUAAGCGGGUGGUAAACUCCAUCUAAGGCUAAAUACGACCACGAGACCGAUAGCGAACA